UACGUAGGGUGCAAGCGUUGUCCGGAAUUAUUGGGCGUAAAGGGCUCGUAGGCGGUCCAUUGCGUCGGGUGUGAAAAGCUGGGGCUUAACCCCAGUCCUGCUUCCGAUACGGGUGGACUAGAGGUAGGUAGGGGAGAUCGGAAUUCCUGGUGUAGCGGUGAAAUGCGCAGAUAUCAGGAGGAACACCGGUGGCGAAGGCGGAUCUCUGGGCCGUACCUGACGCUGAGGAGCGAAAGCGUGGGGAGCAAACAGG
Molecule: ribosomal RNA, 253 nt
Filed under: uncultured bacterium
Lineage: Bacteria
Description: partial 16S ribosomal RNA
Rfam family: Bacterial small subunit ribosomal RNA
Source: RNAcentral